GACGAACGCUGGCGGCGUGCCUAACACAUGCAAGUCGAGCGGAGAUGAUGUGAGGAAGUUUUCGGAUGGAAUCACAUUAUUUUAGCGGCGGACGGGUGAGUAACGCGUGAGCGACCAACCUUGCACAGGGGGAUAACGGACCGAAAGGUUCACUAAUACCGCAUGAGACCACGGUGUUGCAUGACACAGAGGUCAAAGGAGGAAUCCGGUGCAAGACGGGCUCGCGUCCGAUUAGGUAGUUGGAGGGGUAACGGCCCACCAAGCCUAUGAUCGGUAGCCGACCUUGGAGAGUGAUCGGCCACAUUGGAACUGAGAUACGGUCCAAACUCCUACGGGAGGCAGCAGUGGGGAAUAUUGGGCAAUGGGGGAAACCCUGACCCAGCAACGCCGCGUGAAGGAAGAAGGUUUUCGGAUUGUAAACUUCUGUCCUUGGUGAAGAGAAGAAGACGGUAGCCAAGGAGGAAGCCCCGGCUAACUACGUGCCAGCCGCCGCCGUAA
Molecule: ribosomal RNA, 498 nt
Filed under: uncultured bacterium
Lineage: Bacteria
Description: partial 16S ribosomal RNA
Rfam family: Bacterial small subunit ribosomal RNA
Source: RNAcentral